Molecule: ribosomal RNA, 1356 nt
Filed under: uncultured marine eukaryote
Lineage: Eukaryota
Description: SSU rRNA
Rfam family: Eukaryotic small subunit ribosomal RNA
Source: RNAcentral
CACUUCUAAGGAAGGCAGCAGGCGCGCAAAUUACCCAAUCCUGACUCAGGGAGGUAGUGACAAGAAAUAACAAUAAACCGGCUUAUGCCGGUUUAAUUGGAAUGAGUACAAUUUAAACAUCUUAACGAGGAACAAUUGGAGGGCAAGUCUGGUGCCAGCAGCCGCGGUAAUUCCGGCUCCAAUAGCGUAUACUAAAGUUGUUGCAGUUAAAAAGCUCGUAGUUGGAUUUCUGUGGGGACGGAGCGGCCGGCCGCAACACGCGGUUCGAGCUAGCGCUUUCCCUACAUCCUGCCGCGAACCGUGCUACCAUUAGUUUGGUGGCGCCGGGGAUCGGCUCGAUUACUUUGAGAAAAAUAGAGUGUUCAAAGCAGGCCACACGCCUUGAAUAAGUUAGCAUGGAAUAAUAACUAAGGACUUCGGUUCUAUUUUGUUGGUGUUCGGGACUGAAGUAAUGAUUGAUAGGGACAGUUGGGGCGGUCUGUAUUCCAAAGCGAGAGGUGAAAUUCUUAGACCUUCGGAAGACAAACAGCUGCGAAAGCGUUCCGCAAGGAUGUUCCCUUUGAUCAAGAACGAAAGUUGGGGGAUCGAAGACGAUCAGAUACCGUCGUAGUCUCAACUAUAAACUAUACCAGCUAGGGAUCGGCCAACGUUAUUUCAUACCGACUUGGUCGGCACCUUAUGAGAAAUCAAAGCAUCUGGGUUCCGGGGGGAGUAUGGUCGCAAGGCUGAAACUUAAAGGAAUUGACGGAAGGGCACCACCAGCCGUGGAGCCUGUGGCUUAAUUUGACUCAACACGGGAAAACUUACCAGGUCCAGACAUAGUAAGGAUUGACAGAUUGAUAGCUCUUUCUUGAUUCUGUGGGUGGUGGUGCAUGGCCGUUCUUAGUUGGUGGAGUGAUUUGUCUGGUUAAUUCCGUUAACGAACGAGACCCCAGCCUGCUAAAUAGCGCGCGUGAGCUUUGCUCGCGGCGAGCUUCUUAGAGGGACUCUGAUGCGCGAUAGCACAUGGAAGUUUGGGGCAAUAACAGGUCUGUGAUGCCCUUAGAUGUUCUGGGCCGCACACGGGCUACACCGGCGCCUGCAACGAGCAUAUCAGCUGGCCCGAGAGGGUCUUGGCUAAUCUUUUGAACCGGCGCCGUGCUUGGGAUUGACCUUUGCAAUUGUUGGUCAUGCAACGAGGAAUGCCUUGUAAACGCGAGUCAUCAGCUCGCAUUGAAUACGUCCCUGCCCUUUGUCCACACCGCCCGUCGCUCCUACCGAUGAAUGUUCCGAUGAAAUUUUCGGAGAGCACCUGUGAACUUGGCUCUGCCUUGCGAACGGGAGGCUCAAAGUCACUUAAAUCUGAACAUUUCGAGG